UUAAAACACCAGUUCCUGUACGAUCACCCAAGUUAAACAACGUCGAGCCUGAUCAGUACCCACAUGGGUGACCGCUUGGGAAUACCUGCUGCUGUAA
Molecule: non-coding RNA, 97 nt
Organism: Acanthosepion pharaonis
Lineage: Eukaryota; Metazoa; Mollusca; Cephalopoda; Sepiida; Sepiidae
Source: the annotation of a GenBank genome assembly